AAGCAAUGCUGCACGCUAUACAUGCAGUCGAACGAGUUCUCGUUGAUGAUCGGUGCUUGCACCGAGAUUCAACAUGGAACGAGUGGCGGACGGGUGAGUAACACGUGGGUAACCUGCCCUUAAGUGGGGGAUAACAUUUGGAAACAGAUGCUAAUACCGCAUAGAUCCAAGAACCGCAUGGUUCUUGGCUGAAAGAUGGCGUAAGCUAUCGCUUUUGGAUGGACCCGCGGCGUAUUAGCUAGUUGGUGAGGUAACGGCUCACCAAGGCGAUGAUACGUAGCCGAACUGAGAGGUUGAUCGGCCACAUUGGGACUGAGACACGGCCCAAACUCCUACGGGAGGCAGCAGUAGGGAAUCUUCCACAAUGGACGCAAGUCUGAUGGAGCAACGCCGCGUGAGUGAAGAAGGCUUUCGGGUCGUAAAACUCUGUUGUUGGAGAAGAAUGGUCGGCAGAGUAACUGUUGCCGGCGUGACGGUAUCCAACCAGAAAGCCACGGCUAACUACGUGCCAGCAGCCGCGGUAAUACGUAGGUGGCAAGCGUUAUCCGGAUUUAUUGGGCGUAAAGCGAGCGCAGGCGGUUUUUUAAGUCUGAUGUGAAAGCCCUCGGCUUAACCGAGGAAGCGCAUCGGAAACUGGGAAACUUGAGUGCAGAAGAGGACAGUGGAACUCCAUGUGUAGCGGUGAAAUGCGUAGAUAUAUGGAAGAACACCAGUGGCGAAGGCGGCUGUCUGGUCUGUAACUGACGCUGAGGCUCGAAAGCAUGGGUAGCGAACAGGAUUAGAUACCCUGGUAGUCCAUGCCGUAAACGAUGAAUGCUAGGUGUUGGAGGGUUUCCGCCCUUCAGUGCCGCAGCUAACGCAUUAAGCAUUCCGCCUGGGGAGUACGACCGCAAGGUUGAAACUCAAAGGAAUUGACGGGGGCCCGCACAAGCGGUGAGCAUGUGUUUUACUUCAAGCACGCGAAGAUCCUUACCAGGUCUUGACAUCUUUUUGAUCACUGAAAGAUCAGGUUCCCUUCGGGGGCAAAAUUGACAGGUGUUGCAUGAUGUCGUCA
This 1054-nucleotide ribosomal RNA is filed under the name Lacticaseibacillus casei. Its description in RNAcentral is "bacterial SSU rRNA". It matches the Rfam family "Bacterial small subunit ribosomal RNA", at positions 31 to 1057 of the family's 1533-position model. The record is from RNAcentral. Lineage: Bacteria; Bacillati; Bacillota; Bacilli; Lactobacillales; Lactobacillaceae.